Molecule: ribosomal RNA, 871 nt
Filed under: uncultured anaerobic bacterium
Lineage: Bacteria
Description: bacterial SSU rRNA
Rfam family: Bacterial small subunit ribosomal RNA
Source: RNAcentral
AUGAACGCUAGCGGGAGGCUUAACACAUGCAAGUCGAGGGGCAUCACGGGUAGCAAUACCUGGUGGCGACCGGCAGACGGGUGAGUAACGCGUAUGUAACCUACCCUGUACAGGGGGAUAACCCGGAGAAAUUCGGACUAAUAUCCCAUAAUGAUAUCUGGGGGCAUCUUCGGAUAUUUAAAGUUCCGGCGGUACAGGAUGGGCAUGCGUAACAUUAGCUAGUUGGUAAGGUAACGGCUUACCAAGGCUUUGAUGUUUAGGGGUCCUGAGAGGGUGGUCCCCCACACUGGUACUGAGACACGGACCAGACUCCUACGGGAGGCAGCAGUGAGGAAUAUUGGUCAAUGGGCGCAAGCCUGAACCAGCCAUCCCGCGUGCAGGAAGACGGCCCUAUGGGUUGUAAACUGCUUUUCCAGGGAGAGAAACUUGCGUACGCGUUGCGCAAUUGACGGUACCCUGGGAAUAAGCAUCGGCUAACUCCGUGCCAGCAGCCGCGGUAAUACGGAGGAUACGAGCGUUAUCCGGAUUCAUUGGGUUUAAAGGGUGCGUAGGCGGACUAUUAAGUCAGUGGUGAAAUCCUGCAGCUUAACUGCAGAACUGCCAUUGAUACUGAUAGCCUUGAGUUUGGUUAAGGUAGGCGGAAUGUGUAAUGUAGCGGUGAAAUGCUUAGAUAUUACACAGAACACCAAUUGCGUAGGCAGCUUACUGAGCCGACACUGACGCUGAGGCACGAAAGCGUGGGGAUCGAACAGGAUUAGAUACCCGGGUAGUCCACGCCGUAAACGAUGAUUACUCGCUGUUGGCGAUACACUGUCAGCGGCUAAGCAAAAGCAAUAAGUAAUCCACCUGGGGGAGUACGGCCGCAAGGUUG